Molecule: ribosomal RNA, 1260 nt
Filed under: Mycosphaerella elaeocarpi
Lineage: Eukaryota; Fungi; Ascomycota; Dothideomycetes; Mycosphaerellales; Mycosphaerellaceae
Description: eukaryotic LSU rRNA
Rfam family: Eukaryotic large subunit ribosomal RNA
Source: RNAcentral
GUUGACCUCGGAUCAGGUAGGGAUACCCGCUGAACUUAAGCAUAUCAAUAAGCGGAGGAAAAGAAACCAACAGGGAUUGCCCUAGUAACGGCGAGUGAAGCGGCAACAGCUCAAAUUUGAAAUCUGGCGCAAGCCCGAGUUGUAAUUUGUAGAGGAUGCUUCUGGGCAGCGGCCGUUCUAAGUUCCUUGGAACAGGACGUCAUAGAGGGUGAGAAUCCCGUAUGUGACCGGCGCGCACCCUCCACGUAGCUCCUUCGACGAGUCGAGUUGUUUGGGAAUGCAGCUCUAAAUGGGAGGUAAAUUUCUUCUAAAGCUAAAUACCGGCCAGAGACCGAUAGCGCACAAGUAGAGUGAUCGAAAGAUGAAAAGCACUUUGGAAAGAGAGUUAAAAAGCACGUGAAAUUGUUGAAAGGGAAGCGCUCACAACCAGACUUCGCGGCGGUGUUCCGCCGGUCUUCUGACCGGUCCACUCGCCGCCGCGAGGCCAACAUCAUCUGGGGCCGCCGGAUAAGACCGUAGGAAUGUAGCUCCCCUCGGGGAGUGUUAUAGCCUGCGGUGAUGCGGCGAGCCUCGGGUGAGGUCCGCACUUCGGUAAGGAUGUUGGCGUAAUGGUUGUCAGCGGCCCGUCUUGAAACACGGACCAAGGAGUCUAACAUCUAUGCGAGUGUUCGGGUGUCAAACCCCUACGCGUAAUGAAAGUGAACGGAGGUGGGAACGCAAGUGCACCAUCGACCGAUCCUGAUGUCCUCGGAUGGAUUUGAGUAAGAGCAUAGCUGUUGGGACCCGAAAGAUGGUGAACUAUGCCUGAAUAGGGUGAAGCCAGAGGAAACUCUGGUGGAGGCUCGCAGCGGUUCUGACGUGCAAAUCGAUCGUCAAAUUUGGGUAUAGGGGCGAAAGACUAAUCGAACCAUUAAUCAGCACUUACUAGGUGGUUGAGAGGGCGCUCAAAGUGUAGCCCUAGUCGGCGAGGCUCGCCGGCGAGACUGUCAAAUUGCGGGGACUCCCUAAAGCCUAUACUACCGCAGCUCGUCGAAAGACCGAGUGCGCACCGGGGUAAUGACCCAGGGGAUGGUAACAACGUAUAGGAUACUGGCCCGGGCCGGGUCAAACAUGGGUAAUCCGCAGCCAAGUCCUAAGUCGCGGGUCGAUCGCGAUACGGAUGCAGUUCAGAGACUUAACGGUGGUCGGUCGGUCCAAUCCGGCUUAAGAUAAAGUCCAAUCCCGCGCCGAAAGGCCGGGAAUCACCUCUCCGCGAGGAGG